This is a long non-coding RNA of Aedes aegypti (yellow fever mosquito), 401 nucleotides long. RefSeq lists it as uncharacterized. NCBI's taxonomy places the organism in Eukaryota, Metazoa, Arthropoda, Insecta, Diptera, Culicidae. The record is from RefSeq and is a predicted model, not a curated record. The transcript is spliced from 2 exons.
GCUCACUGACAACUGGCUGAAUUUCUUGGCUUCUUUGAUUUCUUCUUCUCAUGUUUGGGUUGUGCCAGGGGGUGGGAAACUCGGCUCACUGUGCCCGGCACAGUAUUCGGCACAUCUGGGCACCCUUCUAAUUGACAAUGAAUUGGAUUUGACAGCUACAACUUUGUUUUUGCUAACUACAUAAAGUGGUCGUGCGAUUCAAUCAGAUUGUUGUUAUCCCGAAUUUGUUUGGUAAACAAUCGCAUCCACGAUGAAACCCGAAAAAUUAUCGUGAUCACCGAGGGUCAAAACGGCGUUACAAGUCUCAGAGAGUUUAUUCGUCCAGACCAAAAUCUUGCCGGAUUUCAUUGUGACCCACUUCUGAAGAGAAGUUUCAAAAUCUCCGCCAAGGAAUGCUGGGA